This 424-nucleotide ribosomal RNA is filed under the name uncultured bacterium. Its description in RNAcentral is "partial 16S ribosomal RNA". It matches the Rfam family "Bacterial small subunit ribosomal RNA", at positions 360 to 776 of the family's 1533-position model. The record is from RNAcentral.
AAUUUUGGACAAUGGGCGCAAGCCUGAUCCAGCCACGCCGCGUGAGGGAGGAAGGCUUCCGGGUGGUAAAGCUCUUUCGGACGGAAAGAAAUCGCGCAGGCUAAUACCCCGCGCGGAUGACGGUACCGCCAUAAGAAGCACCGGCUAACUAUGUGCCAGAAGCCGCUGUAAUACGUAGGGUGCGAGCGUUAAUCGGAAUUACUGGGCGUAAGGCGUGCGCAGGCGGUUGAUUAAGACAGGCGUGAACUCCCCGGGCUUAACCUGGGAACUGCGCUUGUGACUGGUCAGCUAGAGUACGGCAGAGGGGGGUGGAAUUCCACGUGUAGCGGUGAAAUGCGUAGAGAUGUGGAGGAACGCCGAUGGCGAAGGCAGCCCCCUGGGCCGAUACUGACGCUCAUGCACGAAAGCGUGGGUAGCAAACAGG